RNAcentral lists this ribosomal RNA (407 nucleotides) under uncultured bacterium. Its description in RNAcentral is "partial 16S ribosomal RNA". It matches the Rfam family "Bacterial small subunit ribosomal RNA", at positions 30 to 526 of the family's 1533-position model. The record is from RNAcentral.
AUUGAACGCUGGCGGCAUGCCUAACACAUGCAAGUCGAGCGGAGCGGCGGCCGGGUGAGUAACGCGUAGGUAACUGCCUCAUAGCGUGGGGUAACUAUUGGAAACGAUAGCUAAUACCGCAUACUGUGAGAUGGCCCUGCGUUGUAUUCGCUAGUUGGUGAGGUAAAGGCUCCCCAAGGCGACGAUACAUAGCCGAGCUGAGAGGGUGAGCUGCCAAACUGGGUCUGAGACACGGGCCAGACUCCUACGGGAGGCAGCAGGAGGGAAACUGCGGACAUGGAGGGAAGUCUGACCGAGCAAAGCCGCGGUAGUGAAGAAGGUGUUUGGAUCGUAAAGCUAUGUUGUGAGAGAAGCGGUAACUAACCAGAAAGGGACGGCUAACUACGUGCCAGCAGCCGCGGUAAUAC